CGGAGGAUCAUUAUUGAAGUAUACUUGGUAAAGUUGUUGCUGGCUCUUUCUAGAGCAUUAUAUGUGCACACUUUGCUAUUCAUAUAUUUCUAAUUACCUGUGCACUUUUUGUAGGAUGGAUAAGUAAAUGUGACCUUCGAGUUCUCACUCGGUUUGUGGGUUUGCUUAGCCAGCUUACCCUGCUACAUUUAUCUGUUCUAUGUUAUUUACUCUAUACUCUAUAUAAAGUGUAUAUUAGAGCAUUUGCUUGAACAUUAUACAACUUUCAACAACGGAUCUCUUGGCUCUCGCAUCGAUGAAGAACGCAGCGAAAUGCGAUAAGUAAUGUGAAUUGCAGAAUUCAGUGAAUCAUCGAAUUUUUGAAUGCACCUUGCACUCCUUGGUAUUCCGAGGAGUAUGCCUGUUUGAGUGUCAUAACAAUUAAUAUCAACCAUUUCUGUUGUUUAGAAUUGGCUUGGAAUUUGGGAGUUGCGAGCCCUUAUAAAACAAAGGUUGGCUCUCCUUAAAUGCAUUAGCAGAGAGGACCUGUGCUGUCUCUUUCUAUGUGUGAUAAAGUAUCUACACUAUUAAAAAAGCAGCUCUUUUACAAAAUGGUUUCUGCUAAUAAUUGUGACAACUAUUGAAACCCUUGACCUCAAAUCAGGUAGGACUACCCGCUGAACUUAAGCAUAUCAAUAAGCGGAGGAA
RNAcentral lists this ribosomal RNA (687 nucleotides) under Rhodophana squamulosa. Its description in RNAcentral is "eukaryotic LSU rRNA". The stretch from base 261 to 414 matches the Rfam family "5.8S ribosomal RNA". The record is from RNAcentral. Lineage: Eukaryota; Fungi; Basidiomycota; Agaricomycetes; Agaricales; Entolomataceae.